RNAcentral lists this transfer RNA (75 nucleotides) under Firmicutes bacterium ADurb.Bin153. Its description in RNAcentral is "tRNA-Gly". It matches the Rfam family "tRNA". From Rfam's summary of the family: Transfer RNA (tRNA) molecules are approximately 80 nucleotides in length. RNAcentral also lists the same sequence under 1 other name. The record is from RNAcentral. Lineage: Bacteria; Bacillati; Bacillota.
GCGGAAAUAGCUCAGCGGUAGAGCAUCGCCUUGCCAAGGCGAGGGUCGCGGGUUCGAAUCCCGUUUUCCGCUCCA